This is a non-coding RNA of Pseudonaja textilis, 87 nucleotides long. Lineage: Eukaryota; Metazoa; Chordata; Lepidosauria; Squamata; Elapidae. The record is from RefSeq and is a predicted model, not a curated record.
GUUGUCUUUGGAGAUUUUUAGUGUUAUAUGUGGAAAUUAUAAAUUGUAAAUUACACCUGAGAAAAUGAAGAACAGAAGAGAAUCCAU